UCGUAGGUGAACCUGCGGAAGGAU
RNAcentral lists this non-coding RNA (24 nucleotides) under Mus musculus (house mouse). The record is from RNAcentral. Lineage: Eukaryota; Metazoa; Chordata; Mammalia; Rodentia; Muridae. RNAcentral also lists the same sequence under 1 other name.